RNAcentral lists this ribosomal RNA (114 nucleotides) under uncultured bacterium. RNAcentral's name for it is "partial 16S ribosomal RNA". It matches the Rfam family "Bacterial small subunit ribosomal RNA", at positions 354 to 464 of the family's 1533-position model. The record is from RNAcentral.
UAGGGGAAUUUUCGUCAAUGGGGGCAACCCUGAACGAGCAAUGCCGCGUGAGCGAAGAAGGUCUUCGGAUUGUAAAGCUCUGUUGCCGGGGAAAAAGGAAGGAAAGAGGAAAUG